AGGGAAUAGAUACCCGGGUAGUCCUGGCAGUAAACGGUGCACGUUUGGUGUGGGCGCAAUCGACCGCGUCCGCGCCGGAGCUAAACGCGUUAAACGUGCCGCCUGGGAAGUACGGUCGCAAGAUUAAAACUCAAAGAAAUUGACGGGGACCCGCACAAGCGGUGGAGUAUGUGGCUUAAUUCGAUGCAACGCGAAGAACCUUACCUGGUCUUGACAUGCAUUGUGUCUCCGGUGAAAGCCGGAUAGGGCAGCAAUGCCCGCUUUGCACAGGUGCUGCAUGGCUGUCGUCAGCUCGUGUCGUGAGAUGUUGGGUUAAG
Molecule: ribosomal RNA, 317 nt
Filed under: uncultured bacterium
Lineage: Bacteria
Description: bacterial SSU rRNA
Rfam family: Bacterial small subunit ribosomal RNA
Source: RNAcentral